Podarcis raffonei (Aeolian wall lizard) is the source of this 1051-nucleotide long non-coding RNA. RefSeq lists it as uncharacterized. The record is from RefSeq and is a predicted model, not a curated record. The transcript is spliced from 3 exons. NCBI's taxonomy places the organism in Eukaryota, Metazoa, Chordata, Lepidosauria, Squamata, Lacertidae.
UAUAUCAAAGUAAGUGAAAAUAUAAUAUAUGAGCUCAUUCUUGCCACAAUUGCCAAUUAGUUUUUGAGGUCAUAUUGACUACCAAGAUGGCGUUGGCAGGCCUUCCGGAACAUUCCGCCUUUGGUUCAACACAAUAGAACUUCCUCACCGGGGUGUAUGUGUGUGUGUGUCUCCCUAACAGUGACUGUGAUGUCACAAAGUGAGAGCAUUUCUAUCUAGACAGACUUUUAACUUGCAAUAACAAUUGUACGUGGGUUUUAUCUGCUUGGCCUAAACCAGGGAUUGCCAGUCUGUGACCUUCCAGACACGAUGAAGUUUGCCCUUUUAUCUGUUUAUUUUAUUUAUUAAAUUUAUAUAAUGCCUUUCGACUAAAGAUCACGAGGCAGUUUGUAGCAUAAAAAUACAAACACCCGCAACAGAACAUCACACGUUCCUCUGUGACAAGUCACCAAGAAAGGAAAUGAUAUUGCAGAAGGAGACAGCUACAGGGCAGGAUUCAAUAAUGAGGGUCAAGAUGCAACGAGCCCCUUGAGCAGUAAAAGCCCUUCUACAGGCAUACAAGGACCAGAGUAAAACACAUCAGCAGCAGCUCAAAAUACCCAGGUUAAAAAGCCGGUUUUUAAGAGGAACACGUCUGCUACUGCACCACACUCUGGCGCUGUCAAGUGCAUGAGUGUGUGGGAUUUGAGGAGCUGCCAUCUCUGAAGGACAGUGGCAAGUGACAAACUUCAUCCAGGGGAAAGGAGAUCAAGACAGGACAUGUUAUAAAUAAAGUGGUACCUUGGUUUCAACACUUUCAUUCUCAGACUCCAAAAACUUGGAAGUGUGUGUUCCAUUUUUUACUCAUGGUCGGCGAUAAACUUCAUUUCAUUUCUCUUUGCUUGCAAUUAUUGUAUGCAUUUUGUUUCUUAUAAUAUUGAUCGUGACGAUAAGGGUUUGUAACCAAUGUGAGUCCUGCUCGGAGUAGACCCAUUGAAAUGACUAGACAUAACUAACUUGUGUACAUUAAUUUUAGUCUACUCUUGAGCAGAACUUGCAUGCAUUUAACUCA